UGCCUAAACCCAGAGUAUUCUCUGGACAUGGCACCAAAACCGGUGAAGGUUAGAAAGCUCGUCGUCAGAGCGCCUUCACCGGUUAUCUCCCGAAAGGGAGGUAGGUAGCCGAAAGGCUAUC
This 121-nucleotide small RNA is filed under the name unclassified sequences. RNAcentral describes it as "LOOT RNA". It matches the Rfam family "LOOT RNA". From Rfam's summary of the family: Latescibacteria, OD1/Parcubacteria, OP11, TM7. The record is from Rfam by way of RNAcentral.